AGAUAUUCUAAUGAAAUGUUCAGUGACAGGAGUUAGAAGACAGAUGUUACUAUUAGAGGAUAUUCCAGGACCUACAGAAACAAUUUUACCUUACUCCAAGAGACGAGAAACAGCUCUUUGACAGAAAGGAAAGCUUCACUUUGAUACCUCAUCGUGAUUGAGGUUUAAAGAAGCAUAUGACGAAGGAUUGGACUGCUUAUCUGGUACUGUGAACUUGAC
Bombina bombina (fire-bellied toad) is the source of this 219-nucleotide long non-coding RNA. RefSeq lists it as uncharacterized. The transcript is spliced from 3 exons. Lineage: Eukaryota; Metazoa; Chordata; Amphibia; Anura; Bombinatoridae. The record is from RefSeq and is a predicted model, not a curated record.